Panonychus citri (citrus red mite) is the source of this 983-nucleotide long non-coding RNA. RefSeq lists it as uncharacterized. Lineage: Eukaryota; Metazoa; Arthropoda; Arachnida; Trombidiformes; Tetranychidae. The transcript is spliced from 2 exons. The record is from RefSeq and is a predicted model, not a curated record.
ACCCCUGAACGAAUAAUAAAACAAACCAAACCAAACCAAAAGAAUUGUUAUCAUAUAAAAUCAAUGAAACAAAUUAGAUAAUUCAAUGAAUGAUGGAAUAGCUCAUGAGCUCCAAUUUAUUUUACUAUUUCAGCAUUUCAGGAAGAAGAAUUGAUUUGAAUCAAAUCAAAUCAAAUCGAAGACAAUUGAUAUCAAGUUACAUGUUUACCAAUAUUUACAUGGAUCAUUUACAACGAAAAUUAGUCUACCAAACAAUCAACUCAUCCUAAUUAUUCACAAUUCUGCAUGUUGACAAAGUCUUCAUUGAUUAUAUACUCAUGGAAUCAACAAUUAACUUGUAAUCCUUUCUGCAAACAGUUUUUUUUGUUCAUCAUCAUCAUCACCAUUUUGUUUUACUUGUGCCAAGUUAUCAUUUCGUCCAUACGAGUGUUCAAUUACAAUUGUAAAUCGGAUUGUAGUUAAUUGUAAAUAGUUAUCAUGGAAACUAAACAAAGAUAUCAAUUUACCUUGGAAAAUAAACUGUAAAGACUAAUGGAUUUCGAAUGCAAAAACAAUCAAGGAACAUGAAACUUUUAAACAUAAACGGAUGUUAUUGGAUAAUCAAGGAUCUAAAUCAUAAAACAAUCUAAUGAUUAGUCUGUGGUAAAUGAGAAUGAUGAUGAAAAGCUCACUUGUCUCUCUCUCUCUCGAAUUAUUUUACUCAAUAUAUGAAAGAUGAUUCUGUAAGACUGAGACUGAGAAUGUGUAUGUGUGUGUGUGUAUGCUAAAGGAAAUGCUUAUCAAGGGUCAAAUCAAGGUUAUUGAAUAUGUGUCAUUUUCGUUACCUGAUUGGAUGAUAUCGAGUAAAGUUGCACCCAUGGCAGUUUUCCUGGUCUUUAGAGUAUCGAAAACUUCCUGAGUAAGGUAUUUUUCAGUAAGGAUUUACAAUCCUUAGCAUCCUGAAGUUUCUUGAAUCCAGCUUCAAGUUUCUCAAGAGUAGCUGC